GGAAGUACAAGGCGCCUCCAUCUUCACAGCAUGAAGGAAGCCGAGGAGAUGCCAUGUGAGGGUGCAGCGAGGAGUUGGGCUGUCUAAAAGCAAAGAAAGAGAUUGCAUCAGACACCGCAUCUGCUGACACCUUGUUCUUGGACUUCCAGCUUCCAAAACCGCGAGAAAUAAAUGUCUGUGUCUAAACCCCAACCCUACCACCUCAACUGCCGUGUGUGGUGUUUUGUGAUGGCAGCCCCAGCUGACUGAGACACCUGGUUAGACCGGAAUAAGCAGGCUGCAAUCGGUAGCAGUCACCAUUGAACAUCCUUGAAGCAAUUCUUCCAAAAUUACCUUGCAUCAAAGACUGCACAAGAACUGCUCUAAGCGGAAGGACUGAUGUCGGCAACCAGGGUUCCACCAGGGGCUGCAGACAGCCCUUGACCUUCAGGUGGGAAGGUGUCACUGAGUUCAGACCCUCUGGCAAUCCCUAGCUAUCAACAUUUUGAUAAGAAAAUAAGUGGAAAGGGCUAGUGUGAGCAUCCCUGUGCAAUGGCUUAUUGGGAAAUUGAUGUGCAUUGCACCGGAAGCAAUCUCCUCAUCUUCCUGCUUACUCAUCAGACUGAAAAAGGCAACACAGACUACCAUUCAUUGUGUGGCUACAAGGCACUAUGCAUUUUCAUACAAUAUAUCUAAAGCCCAUAAUACUCACCAAAAUAAACCAUUGCUGCCACAAUUUAAGAGAUGAGUGGAAUGAAGCUCAGGGGUAAAGUAAUGGGUUUAAAUUAUAGUCUUAUCUGACUCCAAAAACCAUUCUCUUGCUAUUUCUUCAUACAGCUUAUCAGGAUCACCAUGUCCUGAUCUUUUUCUGAGCAUUCAGUCUCCUAUUUCCUAAGUGCUCAGCAAAACAUUUGCCAGCCCAAUUCUUAAUUUCAUUAUCAUCAGCAAAAUGAAUAAUCAGAAUUAAUUGGUGAAUGGUUUCUUCCUAGCACCCCUUUAAGAAACUUUCCCCUGCAAUCUCCAUGGGCACUAGCUUCAGCCCUUGAGUAUAAAUAAGUCAGUAAUAAAGAAUGUAGGAGCCUAAUAAUAAA
Molecule: long non-coding RNA, 1070 nt
Organism: Homo sapiens (human)
Lineage: Eukaryota; Metazoa; Chordata; Mammalia; Primates; Hominidae
Source: Ensembl